Bos taurus (domestic cattle) is the source of this 625-nucleotide long non-coding RNA. The record is from Ensembl. NCBI's taxonomy places the organism in Eukaryota, Metazoa, Chordata, Mammalia, Artiodactyla, Bovidae.
GGGUAGCCUGGUGGGCUGCCGUCUAUGGGGUCGCACAGAGUCGGACACAACUGAAGCGACUUAGCAGCAGCAGCAGCAGCCGCCGCAGCAGCAGCACGAUAACUUGUCAUAAUACUAAGGCACGUAGCCCACUCCCUGGCCCAACUCUUGCUGACCAGUGGGAAGAGAGACCUGGUUGGAAGGAGGAUUCUCUGGCUGGGGGGUCGAGGCCGGGAAGGAGGCACGUAGGGUCUUAGCUCCCUGACCAGGAAUCGAACCAGCAUCCCCUGCGUUGGGAAGCGAAGUCUUACCCACCGGACCACCGGAGAAGUCCCCCAGAAAGCCGCUCAGCCUGCAUCCACUGCCUCUGUUCACAGCCCAGGGCUCCGCGGUGCCCGAGGCAGACAUUUCUGGCUCUUUCACUCCGGCCCCUCCCCCAUUCCCCCUGUCUCUGGUCAGACUGGAUUCCUCUGAAUCCGUCUGGCUCCCAGAACUGGCUGCAUUUCCCCACCUUGGGCACCUUUGUCCUCGCUGUUCCCUCUCUCUGUUCUCCUUCCCCUAGUCUGGCUGCCUUGCCCAACUCCAGGGGGACCCCUCCAUGGAGAUUUCUGUCCUCAGAGUCCUCUGCUGCACAACCCAAGAAUUC